RNAcentral lists this ribosomal RNA (253 nucleotides) under uncultured bacterium. RNAcentral describes it as "partial 16S ribosomal RNA". It matches the Rfam family "Bacterial small subunit ribosomal RNA", at positions 524 to 776 of the family's 1533-position model. The record is from RNAcentral.
UACGUAGGGUCCGAGCGUUGUCCGGAAUUAUUGGGCGUAAAGGGCUCGUAGGCGGUUUGUCGCGUCGGGAGUGAAAACCAGGUGCUUAACACCUGGCCUGCUUUCGAUACGGGCAGACUAGAGGCAUUCAGGGGAGAACGGAAUUCCUGGUGUAGCAGUGAAAUGCGUAGAUAUCAGGAGGAACACCGAUGGCGAAGGCAGGUCUCUGGGCUGACACUGACGCUCAUGCACGAAAGCGUGGGGAGUAAACAGG